GGAAGGAGGCCCCUAGCCCAGCGCCCGGAUAACCAUCUCUCCCCCUCCCCCCACCACGGGCAUCCACGUGCUUCACAUUCUUGGACGUCUGGGAGCGGGCGGAGGCGUGAGCGGUGGCAGGAGGCGGUGGAGAACUCAGGUACACUACCUCACAGCUGGGUACGAACACGCCCAGGUGUGCACCCCAGGCG
Molecule: long non-coding RNA, 191 nt
Organism: Hyaena hyaena (striped hyena)
Lineage: Eukaryota; Metazoa; Chordata; Mammalia; Carnivora; Hyaenidae
Exons: 3
Source: RefSeq, a predicted model, not a curated record